RNAcentral lists this ribosomal RNA (1130 nucleotides) under 'Edwardsiana rosae' phytoplasma. RNAcentral's name for it is "bacterial SSU rRNA". It matches the Rfam family "Bacterial small subunit ribosomal RNA", at positions 208 to 1346 of the family's 1533-position model. Lineage: Bacteria; Bacillati; Mycoplasmatota; Mollicutes; Acholeplasmatales; Acholeplasmataceae. The record is from RNAcentral.
AAUAGGUAUGCUUAGGGAGGAGCUUGCGUCACAUUAGUUAGUUGGUGGGGUAAAGGCCUACCAAGACUAUGAUGUGUAGCCGGGCUGAGAGGUUGAACGGCCACAUUGGGACUGAGACACGGCCCAAACUCCUACGGGAGGCAGCAGUAGGGAAUUUUCGGCAAUGGAGGAAACUCUGACCGAGCAACGCCGCGUGAACGAUGAAGUAUUUCGGUACGUAAAGUUCUUUUAUUAGGGAAGAAUAAAUGAUGGAAAAAUCAUUCUGACGGUACCUAAUGAAUAAGCCCCGGCUAACUAUGUGCCAGCAGCCGCGGUAAUACAUAGGGGGCAAGCGUUAUCCGGAAUUAUUGGGCGUAAAGGGUGCGUAGGCUGUUAAAUAAGUUUAUGGUCUAAGUGCAAUGCUCAACAUUGUGAUGCUAUAAAAACUGUUUAGCUAGAGUAAGAUAGAGGCAAGUGGAAUUCCAUGUGUAGUGGUAAAAUGCGUAAAUAUAUGGAGGAACACCAGUAGCGAAGGCGGCUUGCUGGGUCUUUACUGACGCUGAGGCACGAAAGCGUGGGGAGCAAACAGGAUUAGAUACCCUGGUAGUCCACGCCGUAAACGAUGAGUACUAAACGUUGGGUAAAACCAGUGUUGAAGUUAACACAUUAAGUACUCCGCCUGAGUAGUACGUACGCAAGUAUGAAACUUAAAGGAAUUGACGGGACUCCGCACAAGCGGUGGAUCAUGUUGUUUAAUUCGAAGGUACCCGAAAAACCUCACCAGGUCUUGACAUGCUUUUGCAAAGCCGUAGAAACACAGUGGAGGUUAUCAGUUGCACAGGUGGUGCAUGGUUGUCGUCAGCUCGUGUCGUGAGAUGUUGGGUUAAGUCCCGCAACGAGCGCAACCCUUAUUGUUAGUUGCCAGCACGUAAUGGUGGGGACUUUAGCAAGACUGCCAGUGAUAAAUUGGAGGAAGGUGGGGACGACGUCAAAUCAUCAUGCCCCUUAUGACCUGGGCUACAAACGUGAUACAAUGGCUGUUACAAAGGGUAGCUGAAACGCAAGUUUUUGGCGAAUCUCAAAAAAACAGUCUCAGUUCGGAUUGAAGUCUGCAACUCGACUUCAUGAAGUUGGAAUCGCUAGUAAUCGCG